Molecule: non-coding RNA, 27 nt
Filed under: Mus musculus (house mouse)
Lineage: Eukaryota; Metazoa; Chordata; Mammalia; Rodentia; Muridae
Source: RNAcentral
UUGCACAACAGCCGCCUUUAACUCUUU